Long non-coding RNA from Equus caballus (horse), 4054 nucleotides. The record is from Ensembl. NCBI's taxonomy places the organism in Eukaryota, Metazoa, Chordata, Mammalia, Perissodactyla, Equidae.
UACAGAGGAAGACACUAUUAACAAUCCUCCACCAAAGUAUCUUGGGUAUGUAUGCAUGUAAAAUGCCAGAAUGACAUAGAGCUUAAGAGCAUGAGUUUUAGAGGCAGGACCUGAGUUCGCAUCUUACCUCUACCACUUAUAUAGGCUGGGUAAGUUACUAACCUUCUUUGUUCCUCAGUCUCCUCAUUGGUGAAAUGGAUAGAAUAGUGUACCUACUGCAUUCAAAAAUAUGGCUUUGUCUGUACUUUAGCUUUUUUAUUCCCUAACCAAAUGGCCUUCAGUAUGGGCAGCACAACCUGAUAGGAUUUCAAUCAAGGAGGCUCUUUGGACCUGUACCUCGAAUAGAAUUGUGGCUCUUUGUCUCGUGUCCCCCAUGCUACCCAUACCCUCAGGGCAGUUCAUUUCAGUUAAUGCUCCUUCAAUCUGGCUGCUAGGUAUAAUUUGGGAUUCAUUGAAUUGUUGACAUGGUUGACCUGGGCCAGUGUGAUUCAAGGUUAAUAGGACUAAAAGUCAAAAUGAAAAAGAAGUUCUAUGGAAUACAAAAAGGCAAUCAUAGAAGAACUAUUCCAGACCAGUGGAGUUAAUGAAAAGCUAUCUGUCUUCUGUCAGUCACACCAAAAUUCUAAAGAUCAGUAUAUUUAACCAGUCUGAAAUAAUGGUUAAAGUCGAGAUGGGAGAAAGUUUUGCAAAAGGAGAUUGAUAGCCAAAAAUCAAUGAUCCAAAUUUUAUGAUUGGUAAGGAAGGGUGGUCGGGGAGAGACAAUUAUUUAAAUAAAAGAGCACUUUAUUUUUGGCAACCUUAAAAAUACUAAAACUUCUGAAGAUUAUUUAAUAUAGGACCCUAAAAAUUAAAAAAAAAAAGUUAUCUGAGGGUAACAGAAUCAAAAAGCACUCUUAGAGUUUUCUGUGAGUAAACUAUCGUAAAAAAAGUCACAUAUAGCUCCUCAUAUAUUGCAGUAUAUUUCUUCUAAAUAUUGUAUAUUUAAAUUAUGGUGGGCAGGAGGAGACUUUUAAGAAAACAUUCCAACAGAAAUUUAUCUGGACCACUGAUACUUGAUAAAACCAAGUUACAAUGUGCCAAGACGAAUGUUUGAACAGAAUCAUCCCGGUGGUGAUGUCUAUGUGUGAGUGGGGAAGCAACUGCAACUUAGAGUUGAAGAGAGAAACAUUUAGUAAGUGAGGAGAAGAUAAAGACAAGAAAGAUAAAUUAACCCACGAGUUAGAAGCUCUGAGUACUUCUCCCAACUCUGUGGAUGAAUCUCCAGAUUUUAGUCUCUCAUUUAUCAUUAUAAAUAAAAGAUAUGAAUUAUAGAUGUCUAGAGGUCUUAAUCACUCUAGUGUUUCCUUCUUCUCUGCUUCUUGGACUGCCAUAUUAUUUGAGGUGGCAAACUACAAAAUGGCAAAUUUCAGUCAGAGGUUGCAGAAAUCAGCCAUUCAUGAAAAUGCAUUUCUUUUCAGCAGACCACUGGAAUCCCCACACUACCAUGACACAGAUAGACAGGGUACAACCUCGGAGAUUUAGGAGCCUCCGGAUCCAGUUCUGCACAUGUUCUCCCAGGAAUGUGCUCACUAGGACCUGCAGCUGCUCACAAUAUAGCCCCUUUCCUCUCUUAUCAGUCCCAGCACUUCCACAGCUGGCCCUCGUUAUUGACCUGGUGGCCAAGGAGGGCAGUGAAGAGGAUACUACAUCGUCUUCAAGCAAGCGGAGAGAACUGAACUUUAACAGAGAGGAUUGGGCCACUUUUUCAGGCUCAGAGGGUUAAGGGGAAUCUGAGAAUUCAAGAUUUUUGAGAGUAUCAACCCAGAUUUCCCCAAACCAUGUUUCAGGAUCCCACUUCUCCAAAUAGCCCUGCCUUUGGCAUAGAAAACUUGCCAAAUUUGAGAACUCAGCCUCUUCUGUGGUUCUGCUACUUUUUUUUCCCUGCUUUUUCUCCCCAAAUCCCCCCAGUACAUAGUUGUAUAUUUUUAGUUGUGGGUCCUUCUAGUUGUGGUAUGUGGGACGCUGCCUCAGCAUGGCCUGAUGAGCGGUGCUGUGUCCAUGCCCAGGAUCUGAACUGGUGAAACUCCGGGCUGCUGAAGCAGAGUGUGUGAACUUAACCACUUGGCCAUGGGGCUGGCCCCUCUGCUACUUUUAUAAUGAAGUUCCGGGACCUGAUCCUCAGCUUUUUGGAGAUGAGAAUCUCUCUAUAUGCCACCAAAGAAAACCUCUGGUUUUCACACUUACAUUUUUUUUGUUUGGGGGGGUGGUGGUGAGGAAGAUUGGCUCUGUGCUAAUGUGUGUGCCAGUCUUCCUCUAUUUUGUAUGUGGGACGCUGCCACAGCAUGGCUUGAUGAGUGGUGUGUAAGUCCACACCCGGGAUCCUAACCUGCAAACCCUGGGCCCCUAAAGCAGAGUACAUGAACUUAACCAUUACACCACUGGGCUGGCCCCUCACACUCACUUUUUAAUUGGUGAUUAAACAUCCUCAGUUUUCAUUAUCUUCUCCAAUGUAUUGAUUGCCUCCAGUUAUAGUCAUCCAAUUCUUUAGUCAUUAUAAUUGCUAUUUCUCCCUUGCUCUAUCUACUACUGCAUUAACCACCACCCUCCAAAAAAAAUAUUGGUGUAAAACAACAACAAUUUUGGUAUAUUUGCAGAUUCUGCAGUACAGAAAUUUGAACAUGGCACAGUAGGGAGGAAUUGCUUUCCUCUGCUUCAUGAUGUCUGGGAUAUAUAAGCUGGGAAGAAACAAAUUUCUUGGGGUUACUCAACGGACUGAGAGCUGAAUUUAUCUGAAAGAAUCAUUCUUAACUGGGGUGAUUUUGUCUCCAGGGAACAAGCAAUAUCAAAGACAUUUUUCUUUGUCACAACUGGGGGAAAGGAAGUGCUGCUGGUAUCUAGUGGAUAGAGGCCAGAGAUUCUGCUAAACAUCCUACAACAUAUAGGACAGUCCCCCACGAUGAAGAAUUACCUGGCUUCAAAGGUGAAUAGUAAUGAGGUUGAGAAAUGCUGGUCUGCAGUCUUCUUCCAUCAUAUAUUGAGUACUUGGGUUAGGAUAACCCAAAAGCUAGGCUCAUCUGGGACCCCUCCACAUGGCAGGCUUCCUUAAAGCAUGCCAACCUCAGGGUAGUUGAGUUUUUACAUGGGGGUACAAAGUUUCAAGAGUAAACAAGCCUGUCACUGAACUGUACACUUUAAAUAAUUAAAAUGGUAAAGAAAAUAAAAUAAAAAUCUAUUGUUUGAAAAAAGAGUAAAUAACGAUAGAAAAAGCUAUGUGGCCUUUUUAUGAUGUGUUCUCGUAAAACACAUAGAUUCACUUCCGCUAUAAUCUAUUGGUCAAAGCAGUCAAAAUUCAUUCAAAUUCGUGUGGACCUACUACUUAAUAAUGAGAAUAUAAAAAAUCUACAGCCAUGUUCUAGAGAUACCACACCCCAUAUCUCUUGUUUUCGUUGUUAGUGCUGUGGAGUCAUUCUGACUCCCAGCGACCCUGGGUACAACAGAAUGGAACCCUGCCUGGUCUUUUUGCACCAUUCUCUCACCUUCCCAUGUUAUAUCAGACAAUGCUCCACUGCUAUUCAUACAGUUUUCAUGACCAAUUUUUUCUGAAGUGUGUGGCCAUGUCCUGCUUCUUAGUCUCUUAGUCUGGUAGCUCCACUGAAACCAUCCACUAUGGGUGACACUGCUGAUAUUUGAAAUAUAACUGGCAUAGCUUUUGGCAUCACAGCAACAUGCAGUUGCCACAGUAUGACAACAAACAGACAGGUGGUGUGGUUCCCUGACCAGGAAAUGAACCCAGGCCACAGUGAUGAGAGCACUGAAUCUUAACCACUAGACCAUCAAUAUCUAUACCAAUAUGUCUUGUACACCUGAGAUAUUACACUUCUCAGUGCAUUUUCUCCUACCAGUAUCAUAUCCCAGUUCCCUACCAAUGAAACAUUAUUAAUAGCAUUUCCACAGCAUGUCAGGAACUACUUAUCUUCCACCCAUCCCCAACGAUGGAGUUCUCAUUGCUAUUCAACUCUGGAGGUGGGGGUGGGUUAUCCAUCUUCAAAAUGUCACUUUAGAGUCUACUUCUUAG